AGAACGAACGCUGGCGGCAUGCCUAAUACAUGCAAGUCGAACGAGACCUUCGGGUCUAGUGGCGCACGGGUGCGUAACGCGUGGGAAUCUACCCUUGGGUUCGGAAUAACAGUUGGAAACGACUGCUAAUACCGGAUGAUGACGAAAGUCCAAAGAUUUAUCGCCCAGGGAUGAGCCCGCGUAGGAUUAGCUAGUUGGUGAGGUAAAGGCACACCAAGGCUACGAUCCUUAGCUGGUCUGAGAGGAUGAUCAGCCACACUGGGACUGAGACACGGCCAGACUCCUACGGGAGCAGCAGUAGGAUAUUGGACAGUGGGGCAACCGUGACUCGAG
RNAcentral lists this ribosomal RNA (333 nucleotides) under uncultured soil bacterium. RNAcentral's name for it is "bacterial SSU rRNA". It matches the Rfam family "Bacterial small subunit ribosomal RNA", at positions 26 to 391 of the family's 1533-position model. The record is from RNAcentral.